AAUUAUUUGUUUCUACGACAAAUUGAAAGCAACAUGAUGCAUAUAUUAAAUCUGCUGUUGUUUGGUAUUAUAUCUACCAAAUGUGCUCCAGUCCAUGACUGCAUUGGGGAACAAUGUCGGAACAUUAUAUCGGUUCCACUGAUCGAUGAAAUGAAAGCCACUUUAAAAGCUGAUUUGGAUGUUUCCAAACUGAAUAGUGUUUUGCAUAAUUAUAUUCUGGGAGAAGUGAAAAAAGCUGUUAAAGUAUCUUUCGAUGUUCAAAUGGAGAGGGCAGUCGAGGACAUCAAUUGGAAUGUUUCAAAGAUGAUGCAGUCGGAUAUAAAGACAAAAUUUGAAAUAUUACAAGAAGAAAGCUUUAAGGGCAAUACAUUUGUUAGAUGGGGCCGACAAUCAUGUGAUGGAACGCUGUCGUCAUUAGUGUAUAAAUGAUAUAUGGCUGGUCCUACGCAUAAGGCGCAAGGAAGUGGAUCAAACUAUUUGUGUCUAACCAGUGAUCCCCAAACAGGGUCUGUCCCUGCAGAUUGGCUUUUCAGUCCUGGCCUCUUUAUGGUAUCGGUUGGGAAUUAACAGGUACUGACAGAAGUAAAAGUUUAGACCACAUCGAUGACAAAGAUGUCCCAUGUGCUGUUUGUUUAACAAAAGGCAAAACAACAUUGAUGAUCCCUGGUAGCAUAUCAUGUUCUGCAGAAUGGACAAAGGAAUAUGCAGGGUUUCUGGUGUCGUCGAGGAACGAGAAAGGCGCUGUAACAACAGAGUAUGUGUGUGCAGAUGAAGAUCCGGAAUUUUACGGAUCACAUAAUUAUAAUCACGGACUCAUUCAUUUUGUAGAAGUUAAAUGUGGAAGCAUACCAUGCACUAAGUAUGGAGACAAAACAAAAUUAAGCUGUGUUGUGUGCAGUAAAUAGUCAACUAUCCCGUAUUUGAAUGAUGUCAAUAACAUUUGAUUGCUGUUUAAAGAUGAUUGCCGAACUUGUUUUUCAGCUUUGUCAGAUAAACAUAUUUUUUGGGUUUUAUCCAUGUAGUGUCAUUACAA
Mytilus trossulus (common blue mussel) is the source of this 1033-nucleotide long non-coding RNA. RefSeq lists it as uncharacterized. The transcript has 4 exons. The record is from RefSeq and is a predicted model, not a curated record. Lineage: Eukaryota; Metazoa; Mollusca; Bivalvia; Mytilida; Mytilidae.